Molecule: long non-coding RNA, 905 nt
Filed under: Homo sapiens (human)
Lineage: Eukaryota; Metazoa; Chordata; Mammalia; Primates; Hominidae
Description: HSALNT0119681
Source: RNAcentral
GGAAGGAAGAAGUUGGACUAUUUCACCACCAUUAAAAACAGAACUUCAAGCAAAGAAACUGACCAAAACCAAAACCACUUGGAAAGGUUAAGCUGCCAUGGGGACAUUUGUUUGAAUGCGUGCUCAUGUACUGCUGAUGGGAUUGCAAAUGGCCCAUGCUCUUUGGAAAGAAAAUCAGUCUUUAUAGACAUGUGACAAGUGCCUUCCAUAUGGUAGGCAAUGAGCGAAGGCAAAAGAAAACAGCCAACUCAAAAGGGCCUGAGGUAUACAGCUAGACAGCCUGAUUCAGCUUCCAUCACUUAAUGGGUUGGUGGCCUUAAGAAAUGACAAUUUAUCUGCAUUUCAAUCUUUUCAUCAGUAAAAUAUUGCUCAUAACAGCAACCUAAUGGUUGUGGCCAUAAGAAUUUAAUAAGGUAUGCAAACAGCUCAGCACACAGCAGGCUCUUAUGUAAGUUUUGGUCUUCCUCGUACCCUAGCAGCAGACUUGAUUUUAGUAUAUCUUGCUUUUUCUAGAAGGAAAAAACAAACAAAACCUGAGAAAUGUCCUCCAUACAUAGACUUGUGUUCCCUUUUACUUUAAGAAAACCAUCAAGACUUUAAUAUACUCAAGGAGCCCUGUGAAUCCUGAUGCUGAAUCUAGACUUUCUCCUUUCCCACUCAAGACUUUUUAUGAAAAGAUGCUUUUUGCUAAUGGGGCCAUCAUUGUAGAGCUCUCUACACAGUGGCCAACUUUCUUGCCUUUGGAGGAGGUUUGUCUGAGAAAGCUGUUAUAAUGCCUCAAAGAAUAAAAAAUUCUAAAUAGACAUUUCUCCAAAGAAGAUACACAAAUGGCCAAUGAGAACAUGAAAGGAUGUUCAACAUUGUUAGUCUUCAGGGACAUGCAAGUCAAAACUGUAAUGUGACAC